AGUGAACGCUGGCGGUAGGCCUAACACAUGCAAGUCGAACGGCAGCACAGUAAGAGCUUGCGCUUACGGGUGGCGAGUGGCGGACGGGUGAGGAAUACAUCGGAAUCUACUUUUUCGUGGGGGAUAACGUAGGGAAACUUACGCUAAUACCGCAUACGACCUACGGGUGAAAGGAGGGGAUCUUCGGACCGUGCGCGAUGGAAUGAGCCGAUGUCGGAUUAGCUAGGUGGCGGGGUAAAGGCCCACCAAGGCGACGAUCCGUAGCUGGUCUGAGAGGAUGAUCAGCCACACUGGAACUGAGACACGGUCCAGACUCCUACGGGAGGCAGCAGUGGGGAAUAUUGGACAAUGGGCGCAAGCCUGAUCCAGCCAUACCGCGUGGGUGAAGAAGGCCUUCGGGUUGUAAAGCCCUUUUGUUGGGAAAGAAAAGCAGCAGGUUAAUACCCCGCUGUUCUGACGGUACCCAAAGAAUAAGCACCGGCUAACUUCGUG
RNAcentral lists this ribosomal RNA (492 nucleotides) under uncultured bacterium. RNAcentral describes it as "partial 16S ribosomal RNA". It matches the Rfam family "Bacterial small subunit ribosomal RNA", at positions 29 to 507 of the family's 1533-position model. The record is from RNAcentral.